Molecule: transfer RNA, 62 nt
Filed under: Gyraulus laevis
Lineage: Eukaryota; Metazoa; Mollusca; Gastropoda; Planorbidae
Description: tRNA-Met
Source: RNAcentral
UUAAAGAUAAGCUAAAAUAAGCUAUCGGGCUCAUAACCCGAACAUGAUUAUAUCUCUUUAAA